UACGAAGGGUGCAAGCGUUACUCGGAAUUACUGGGCGUAAAGCGUGCGCAGGCGGUUGUGCAAGACAGGUGGGAAAUCCCCGGGCUUAACCUGGGAACUGCACUUGUGACUGCACGGCUGGAGUACGGCAGAGGGGGAUGGAAUUCCGCGUGUAGCAGUGAAAUGCGUAGAUAUGCGGAGGAACACCGAUGGCGAAGGCAGUCCCCUGGGCCUGUACUGACGCUCAUGCACGAAAGCGUGGGGAGCAAACAGG
This 253-nucleotide ribosomal RNA is filed under the name uncultured bacterium. RNAcentral describes it as "partial 16S ribosomal RNA". It matches the Rfam family "Bacterial small subunit ribosomal RNA", at positions 524 to 776 of the family's 1533-position model. The record is from RNAcentral.